Orbicella faveolata is the source of this 497-nucleotide long non-coding RNA. NCBI's taxonomy places the organism in Eukaryota, Metazoa, Cnidaria, Anthozoa, Scleractinia, Merulinidae. The record is from RefSeq and is a predicted model, not a curated record.
GUUUUUAUUUGUUUUUGCUGUCGCUUAGCAGUUGAACUGUUUUCUGAUGACUUGAGCAAGACUUGUACAAGACUUGUACAACACAUUAUUAACACACAGUGUCUACCAAAAUUAAUGGGUACUUCAAGUUUCAUGUUCAGAGAAAAAUAAAUAUUAAGUUGAUUUUCAUGUAGUACAGUGUACUGUUGACACUGUCUAUGGAAGCAAGUACCAAACUUAGCAGACUGCCAUUCUGUCUGUUUGUUCAAAACUGUACUGACUGAGGACUGACAGAGGUUAAUUAAAUUUAUAAAUGAUUUUUAUUAACAACAAAUUGCAUGUUUUCUUUUCAAUCUUUACUUAGAAUAUCAAUUUGUACAGAAUAUAUGGAUGGAGGUUCCCUAGACAUGUUUGGCUGCAUACCAGAACCAGUUUUAGGCAGAAUUGCAGUUUCAGUAGUCAAAGGACUUCUUUAUUUGUGGGAAUUAAAAAUAAUGCAUAGAGGUGAGCAAGGCCUU